Molecule: ribosomal RNA, 252 nt
Filed under: uncultured Coriobacteriaceae bacterium
Lineage: Bacteria; Bacillati; Actinomycetota; Coriobacteriia; Coriobacteriales; Coriobacteriaceae
Description: partial 16S ribosomal RNA
Rfam family: Bacterial small subunit ribosomal RNA
Source: RNAcentral
UACGGAGGAUGCGAGCGUUAUCCGGAUUUAUUGGGUUUAAAGCGCGCGUAGGCGGCCUGUUAGGUCGGGGGUCAAAUACCGGGGCUCAACCCCGGUCCGCCCCCGAUACCGGCAGGCUUGAGUCUGGUAGGGGAAGGCGGAAUUCCCAGUGUAGCGGUGGAAUGCGCAGAUAUUGGGAAGAACACCGGCGGCGAAGGCGGCCUUCUGGGCCACGACUGACGCUGAGGCGCGAAAGCUAGGGGAGCGAACAGG